This is a long non-coding RNA of Cygnus olor (mute swan), 987 nucleotides long. RefSeq lists it as uncharacterized. The record is from RefSeq and is a predicted model, not a curated record. NCBI's taxonomy places the organism in Eukaryota, Metazoa, Chordata, Aves, Anseriformes, Anatidae. The transcript is spliced from 2 exons.
AAAAAUAUUGCAUUGUGGUCCCAGUAAGAAAUCUCUGUUAUAAUGCUUGAACUUUGUCAUACCAUGUGGGCCAGCAGUGUAUGUCGAAUGAUGGCCAGACACUACAGCAGACUUAUUGAUUUAGUGGACUCUCCCCAUCCGGUGUUUGAUCUCCUAGUGUACACGCCCUGGACAGUAGCUGUGGCUGCUAUUUAAACUGAGAUCUUUUGGUCUGAAAGUAGCACUUCUACCUGACACAAAAGAAAUCCUCCCUCCUGAAUGAAUCAGUAAGAUCUGUGUUAAGUGAAAGCUUGUCUCAUCUGACUGCUCCUUGAAUAUCUUGCUGGUACCUCUCCAAAAACAUAGAAAUAUUCUGGCAAAGUAAUGGGACUGAAAAGAGGGUUCUUUGUUCCCUGAGUUGCUGUACAGUUUGAAAGUGAAAAUACAAAGAUAUCUGUAGGUCACCAAAGGUUAACAUUUCCUCUGGUAUUACUGAUUUGACAAAUGAAGGGAAAACAAACACCCCAGCCAUAGGAACAGAAUGGCAGAAUCAUUGCAAAUCCAGAAGCACACAACACUAAUAAACAAGUGAAGGUACACUUCCAGUGGUAUCCAGAGCAGCAUCCGAUUGAGGAUCUGGAUCAAAACUUUCUCUGGAGAUUUAUGUAGGACAAAGGGCUUUUCUGUUCUUUCUUCAGGCACCUGAUGCUAAAUCCAGAUGGCCGACUCCUGGUAUUGGACACAGUGGCUGCCCAUUCAUUUGUUGUGCAAAUAUUUUCCUUCAGCCAAAAAUAACAAUCAACGAGGAAGCAAAAGGAUGCAAACAUGAUGGACAGCCUGCUGGGCUUUGGAAAUACUUUAAAUUUUAUGCAGCAAAUGGAGCCACAUACUGACAUUUCAAAUCUUCUCCUUCAGAGAAUUCUUUACAGAAACAUUUUCAUCACAUUUUGCUCUGUCUUCAGUAUGCCUACAUUUUAACAUCUUUAAUAAAGCUGAAGAAAAGAACAA